This 348-nucleotide ribosomal RNA is filed under the name Phyllosticta cryptomeriae. Its description in RNAcentral is "SSU rRNA". It matches the Rfam family "Eukaryotic small subunit ribosomal RNA", at positions 20 to 372 of the family's 1831-position model. Lineage: Eukaryota; Fungi; Ascomycota; Dothideomycetes; Botryosphaeriales; Phyllostictaceae. The record is from RNAcentral.
GUAGUCAUAUGCUUGUCUCAAAGAUUAAGCCAUGCAUGUCUAAGUAUAAGCAACUAUACGGUGAAACUGCGAAUGGCUCAUUAAAUCAGUUAUCGUUUAUUUGAUAGUACCUUACUACUUGGAUAACCGUGGUAAUUCUAGAGCUAAUACAUGCUAAAAACCCCGACUUCGGAAGGGGUGUAUUUAUUAGAUAAAAAACCAAUGCUCUUCGGGGCUCCUUGGUGAUUCAUAAUAACUAAACGAAUCGCAUGGCCUUGCGCCGGCGAUGGUUCAUUCAAAUUUCUGCCCUAUCAACUUUCGAUGGUAGGAUAGUGGCCUACCAUGGUACCAACGGGUAACGGGGAAUGA